Molecule: ribosomal RNA, 207 nt
Filed under: uncultured bacterium
Lineage: Bacteria
Description: partial 16S ribosomal RNA
Rfam family: Bacterial small subunit ribosomal RNA
Source: RNAcentral
AGCGCAGACGGUUAUUUAAGUCUGAAGUGAAAGCCCUCAGCUCAACUGAGGAAUUGCUUUGGAAACUGGAUGACUUGAGUGCAGUAGAGGAAAGUGGAACUCCAUGUGUAGCGGUGAAAUGCGUAGAUAUAUGGAAGAACACCAGUGGCGAAGGCGGCUUUCUGGACUGUAACUGACGUUGAGGCUCGAAAGUGUGGGUAGCAAACA